This 496-nucleotide ribosomal RNA is filed under the name uncultured bacterium. RNAcentral's name for it is "partial 16S ribosomal RNA". It matches the Rfam family "Bacterial small subunit ribosomal RNA", at positions 28 to 506 of the family's 1533-position model. The record is from RNAcentral.
GAUGAACGCUGGCGGCGUGCCUAAUACAUGCAAGUCGAGCGAACAGAUGAGGAGCUUGCUCCUCUGACGUUAGCGGCGGACGGGUGAGUAACACGUUGAUAACCUACCUAUAAGACUGGGAUAACUUCGGGAAACCGGAGCUAAUACCGGAUAAUAUAUUGAACCGCAUGGUUCAAUAGUGAAAGACGGUUUUGCUGUCACUUAUAGAUGGAUCCGCGCCGCAUUAGCUAGUUGGUAAGGUAACGGCUUACCAAGGCAACGAUGCGUAGCCGACCUGAGAGGGUGAUCGGCCACACUGGAAGUGAGACACGGUCCAGACUCCUACGGGAGGCAGCAGUAGGGAAUCGUCCGCAAUGGGCGAAAGCCUGACGGAGCAACGCCGCGUGAGUGAUGAAGGUCUGCGGAUCGUAAAACUCUGUUAUUAGGGAAGAACAAAUGUGUAAGUAACGAUGCACGUCUGGACGGUACCUAAACAGAAAGCCACGGCUAACUACGU